UAUCACAGCCAUCUUGACGAGU
Molecule: microRNA, 22 nt
Filed under: Centruroides sculpturatus (bark scorpion)
Lineage: Eukaryota; Metazoa; Arthropoda; Arachnida; Scorpiones; Buthidae
Description: Csc-Mir-2-P2o_3p (mature (guide))
Source: RNAcentral